GAUGAACGCUGGCGGCGUGCCUAAUACAUGCAAGUCGAGCGAACGGACGAGAAGCUUGCUUCUCUGAUGUUAGCGGCGGACGGGUGAGUAACACGUGGAUAACCUACCUAUAAGACUGGGAUAACUUCGGGAAACCGGAGCUAAUACCGGAUAAUAUUUUGAACCGCAUGGUUCAAAAGUGAAAGACGGUCUUGCUGUCACUUAUAGAUGGAUCCGCGCUGCAUUAGCUAGUUGGUAAGGUAACGGCUUACCAAGGCAACGAUGCAUAGCCGACCUGAGAGGGUGAUCGGCCACACUGAAACUGAGACACGGUCCAGACUCCUACGGGAGGCAGCAGUAGGGAAUCUUCCGCAAUGGGCGAAAGCCUGACGGAAGCACGCCGCGUGAGUGAUGAAGGUCUUCGGAUCGUNAAACUCUGUUAUUAGGGAAGAACAUAUGUGUAAGUAACUGUGCACAUCUUGACGGUACCUAAUCAGAAAGCCACGGCUAACUACGUGCCAGCAGCCGCGGUAAUACGUAGGUGGGCAGCGUUAUCCGGAAUUAUUGGGCGUAAAGCGCGCGUAGCGGUUUUUUAGUCUGAUGUGAAAGCCCACGGCUCAACCGUGGAGGGUCAUUGGAAACUGGAAAACUUGAGUGCAGAAGAGGAAAGUGGAAUUCCAUGUGUAGCGGUGAAAUGCGCAGAGAUAUGGAGGAACACCAGUGGCGAAGGCGACUUUCUGGUCUGUAACUGACGCUGAUGUGCGAAAGCGUGGGGAUCAAACAGGAUUAGAUACCCUGGUAGUCCACGCCGUAAACGAUGAGUGCUAAGUGUUAGGGGGUUUCCGCCCUUUAGUGCUGCAGCUAACGCAUUAAGCACUCCGCCUGGGGAGUACGACCGCAAGGUUGAAACUCAAAGGAAUUGACGGGGACCCGCACAAGCGGUGGAGCAUGUGGUUUAAUUCGAAGCAACGCGAAGAACCUUACCAAAUCUUGACAUCCUUUGACAACUCUAGAGAUAGAGCUUUCCCCUUCGGGGGACAAAGUGACAGGUGGUGCAUGGUUGUCGUCAGCUCGUGUCGUGAGAUGUUGGGUUAAGUCCCGCAACGAGCGCAACCCUUAAGCUUAGUUGCCAUCAUUAAGUUGGGCACUCUAAGUUGACUGCCGGUGACAAACCGGAGGAAGGUGGGGAUGACGUCAAAUCAUCAUGCCCCUUAUGAUUUGGGCUACACACGUGCUACAAUGGACAAUACAAAGGGCAGCGAAACCGUGAGGUCAAGCAAAUCCCAUAAAGUUGUUCUCAGUUCGGAUUGUAGUCUGCAACUCGACUACAUGAAGCUGGAAUCGCUAGUAAUCGUAGAUCAGCAUGCUACGGUGAAUACGUUCCCGGGUCU
RNAcentral lists this ribosomal RNA (1370 nucleotides) under uncultured bacterium. RNAcentral describes it as "bacterial SSU rRNA". It matches the Rfam family "Bacterial small subunit ribosomal RNA", at positions 28 to 1381 of the family's 1533-position model. The record is from RNAcentral.